Molecule: ribosomal RNA, 253 nt
Filed under: uncultured bacterium
Lineage: Bacteria
Description: partial 16S ribosomal RNA
Rfam family: Bacterial small subunit ribosomal RNA
Source: RNAcentral
UACGAAGGGGGCUAGCGUUGCUCGGAAUCACUGGGCGUAAAGGGUGCGUAGGCGGGCUUUUAAGUCAGAGGUGAAAUCCUGGAGCUCAACUCCAGAACUGCCUUUGAUACUGAGAAUCUUGAGUACGGGAGAGGUGAGUGGAACUGCGAGUGUAGAGGUGAAAUUCGUAGAUAUUCGCAAGAACACCAGUGGCGAAGGCGGCUCACUGGCCCGUAACUGACGCUGAGGCACGAAAGCGUGGGGAGCAAACAGG